AAAGCAGGUCUGCAAUUGCAGCACUUCAUUACAGUAAAGUGCUGUCAUUAAGCCUGCUGAGAGCAUCUUUAUGCUAUAGAGCUUGUACUCCUCAUCACUGUGCUGGUGAUGAGGACGCUCUGUAGCUGAACAUCA
Molecule: small nucleolar RNA, 135 nt
Organism: Scatophagus argus
Lineage: Eukaryota; Metazoa; Chordata; Actinopteri; Scatophagidae
Product: small nucleolar RNA SNORA69
Exons: 1
Source: RefSeq, a predicted model, not a curated record